ACCAUAUAAACGUCAGAAAACCG
Molecule: non-coding RNA, 23 nt
Filed under: Cricetulus griseus (Chinese hamster)
Lineage: Eukaryota; Metazoa; Chordata; Mammalia; Rodentia; Cricetidae
Source: RNAcentral